CCUACGGGGGCAGCAGUGGGGAAUAUUGGACAAUGGGCGAAAGCCUGAUCCAGCCAUGCCGCGUGUGUGAAGAAGGCCUUCGGGUUGUAAAGCACUUUCAGUGGGGAAGAAAGCCUUGGGGCUAAUACCCUCGAGGAAGGACAUCACCCACAGAAGAAGCACCGGCUAACUCCGUGCCAGCAGCCGCGGUAAUACGGAGGGUGCGAGCGUUAAUCGGAUUUACUGGGCGUAAAGCGCGCGUAGGCGGUCUGAUAAGCCGGUUGUGAAAGCCCCGGGCUCAACCUGGGAACGGCAUCCGGAACUGUCAGGCUAGAGUGCAGGAGAGGAAGGUAGAAUUCCCGGUGUAGCGGUGAAAUGCGUAGAGAUCGGGAGGAAUACCAGUGGCGAAGGCGGCCUUCUGGACUGACACUGACGCUGAGGUGCGAAAGCGUGGGUAGCAAACAGGAUUAGAUACCCCAGUAGUC
This 464-nucleotide ribosomal RNA is filed under the name Vreelandella stevensii. RNAcentral's name for it is "partial 16S ribosomal RNA". It matches the Rfam family "Bacterial small subunit ribosomal RNA", at positions 338 to 795 of the family's 1533-position model. Lineage: Bacteria; Pseudomonadati; Pseudomonadota; Gammaproteobacteria; Oceanospirillales; Halomonadaceae. The record is from RNAcentral.